Molecule: unclassified non-coding RNA, 517 nt
Filed under: Athalia rosae (coleseed sawfly)
Lineage: Eukaryota; Metazoa; Arthropoda; Insecta; Hymenoptera; Athaliidae
Description: misc RNA ENSAEAG00005011435.1
Source: RNAcentral
UGGAAACUUAGUCAUAGAUUGAACAGUCUGAUUGAUGAAUUAAUUUGUCAGUAGAUUCAGAUUCUACACUCAACAAACGUAGGUGUAGGUGUCAUUAUUUAAGCGACUGUUUUCCAAUAUGAAUCUGCUGACAAUCCAGCUACCCCUAAUCUUGUACGUAAUUUUCUAAUUUUCUUUUGCAGGUCAUAUGUCUGUGGUCCUUGAAGAUGCGACUGCAAAGCAAGAGAGUGGUAGGGUAAGAGAUUGUACAUGGCGAGUGUUUGUUCAGAUAUUCGAGGACAAACUCGGAGGAGGAGACUACAGGCGGUUCGGCGAAUACCAUAGAGAGAACAAGUUUUCAUCGUUUGUCAUAUUCGAAGAUUGAGUUUGAAAGAAUUGACGUUUGCAGCUUUGUACAGGCCCACAAAUCAGACGUAGGUCUACAAUGAUAAAAAAUAAGAAAAUGUGUAUCGAUGGAUUAUGAAAUCUGAUGAAACACAUGUAUUGUAUAGAUUGAGGUAGACCUCAACGCAGGAUG